This is a non-coding RNA of Oryza barthii, 210 nucleotides long. The record is from Rfam. Lineage: Eukaryota; Viridiplantae; Streptophyta; Magnoliopsida; Poales; Poaceae.
AAAAAGGCAAAUCCUGGAUUUCCGUGUCCAACUUUAAUUGUCCGUCUUAUAUGAAAUUUUUUUUUUUAUAAUUCGUAUUUUCAUUGUUGUUAGAUGAUAAAACAUGAUUAAUAUUUUAUGCGUGACUUGUCUUUUUAAAAUUUUUUCAUAAUUUUUUUAAAUAAGACGGACGAUCAAACGUUGAGCAUGGAAAUCAGGGUUUGUCUUUUU